GUCCACGCCGUAACGAUGCUAACUCGUUUGGAUUUCGGAUUCAGAGACCAAGCGAAAGUGAUAAGUUAGCCACCUGGGGAGUACGUCCGCAAGGAUGAAACUCAAAGGAAUUGACGGGCCCGCACAAGCGGUGGAUUAUGUGGUUUAAUUCGAUGAUACGCGAGGAACCUUACCAAGACUUAAAUGGGAAUUGACAGGUUUAGAAAUAGACCCUCUUCGGGCAAUUUCCAAGGUGCUGCAUGGUUGUCGU
This 250-nucleotide ribosomal RNA is filed under the name uncultured bacterium. RNAcentral describes it as "partial 16S ribosomal RNA". It matches the Rfam family "Bacterial small subunit ribosomal RNA", at positions 793 to 1055 of the family's 1533-position model. The record is from RNAcentral.